GACGAACGCUGGCGGCGUGCCUAAUACAUGCAAGUCGAACGCUUCUUUCCUCCCGAGUGCCUGCACUCAAUUGGAAAGAGGAGUGGCAGACGGGUGAGUAACGCGUGGGCAACCUACUUCUUACAAAGGGAUAGCCAUGGGAAACCGUGAUUAAUACCAUAUGAUACGAUAACAAGGCAUCUUGAGAUUGUUAGAGCUCCGGCGGUAAGAGAUGGGCUCGCGUCCCAUUAGCUAGUUGGUGAGGGUAACGGCCCACCAAGGCGACGAUGGGUAACCGGCCUGAGAGGGUGAGCGGUCACAUUGGAACUGAGACACGGUCCAA
RNAcentral lists this ribosomal RNA (322 nucleotides) under uncultured bacterium. RNAcentral describes it as "bacterial SSU rRNA". It matches the Rfam family "Bacterial small subunit ribosomal RNA", at positions 28 to 334 of the family's 1533-position model. The record is from RNAcentral.